GUAUGGAACACCGUGCAGGUUAAUAAUAGCUACUGUUGAGGCUAGCUGCAUCCGACACUUCGUUAUAGGAUGAUGCAGGUGGAAUCGUUUUAUCCGUUUCAAAGAUCUGACUGAGUGAGAGUGUGUGGGAUGUGGGGUGUGAGAGACAGAGAGACUGCAAGAUAAAUCAUGUUUGAGGAAGAGAGAGACUUGUGAGAGAAAGUGAAAGCGUGAGAGUGAGAGAGAGUGAAAGAGGCAGAGUGUGUGUGAGAGAGAGAAAGAGAGAGAAGAUGAGGAGACUCCUUCAGGACUCUCCUCUGCGUUGCGUGGUAAAACUCUGGUCUCAGUCCUGCCUGGAGUUCUCUCUUCUCUAAGACCUUCCUGCUCCUCUCAGCUGGUUUCCUCUUCAUGAAGACCACUGACAUUGGUGAUGUGAUGAAUAAAUUUGAAGUCCUUGGCAUUGUAGGUGAAGGAGCCUAUGGAGUAGUCCUGAAGUGCAGGCACAAGGUAAGACCA
Molecule: long non-coding RNA, 495 nt
Organism: Salvelinus namaycush (lake trout)
Lineage: Eukaryota; Metazoa; Chordata; Actinopteri; Salmoniformes; Salmonidae
Exons: 3
Source: RefSeq, a predicted model, not a curated record